GAUGAACGCUGGCGGCGUGCCUAAUACAUGCAAGUCGAGCGAACAGACGAGGAGCUUGCUCCUCUGACGUUAGCGGCGGACGGGUGAGUAACACGUGGAUAACCUACCUAUAAGACUGGGAUAACUUCGGGAAACCGGAGCUAAUACCGGAUAAUAUAUUGAACCGCAUGGUUCAAUAGUGAAAGACGGUUUUGCUGUCACUUAUAGAUGGAUCCGCGCCGCAUUAGCUAGUUGGUAAGGUAACGGCUUACCAAGGCAACGAUGCGUAGCCGACCUGAGAGGGGGAUCGGCCACACUGGAACGGAGACACGGUCCAGACGACUAAGGGAGGCAGCAGUAGGGAAUCUUCCGCAAUGGGCGAAAGCCUGACGGAGCAACGCCGAGUGAGUGAUGAAGGUCUUCGGAGCGUAAAACUCGGUUAUGAGGGAAGAACAAAUGUGGAAGUAACUAUGCACGGCUUGACGGUACCUAAUCAGAAAGCCACGGCUAACUACGUG
This 497-nucleotide ribosomal RNA is filed under the name uncultured bacterium. Its description in RNAcentral is "partial 16S ribosomal RNA". It matches the Rfam family "Bacterial small subunit ribosomal RNA", at positions 28 to 507 of the family's 1533-position model. The record is from RNAcentral.